AAAGGGGGGGGGAGGCAUUGCUGUGGGAGGAAUAUCUUUAGCCUUCAAACAACAGCCACUAAAACAUCCCUGCUCUGCCUCCCCAGAGAUGACAAGGGUUGAAAGUUUUGUGCAGGAUGGCUUUUGAGAGAUAAUAUAAUCCCAUUUAAAAUUAUUUUUAACUGUCCCUUUUAUAGUGAGAAGGAAAAGGCCAAAGAUAGGACCUGAUUCAGGGAUGCCAGUAAGCUUUGGAUUAAUGGGGUUUGGAUUGGACCCACAGUGUAAGAGGCAAUGUUCCAAUCUAGCCAUAAAUUAAGUGAUUUCCAUUAACAUUUAUAUUUCCUUUAAUUUAUUAAACCAAGAAAGUCAGCAGAGGCCCAUAGGUCUCAGUAUUAAGAAUGAACUGGCCAAGACAGCAGCAGAUAAAACUUGCACCAGUGUAAAUCAAAGCUUCCAUAAGUCAUACCAUACUCAAGAAACCGUGGGUAAGUAAGGCAAUAAAAUGUGACCAUUUUUGCUUUAUUGUCUCAUUCUCAGCUCUUACUUUCUGCUGGAGCCAAACAUAAUUUCUCCUUUGCCUUUUUAAGAGGUCCUGGAGACAAUGGACCAAACUUAUUUCAAACCCAGGGUAUAGUGUGGCAGUUCAGGAGCUGGGAUUUGCAAAAAACUCACAAAUGUUUUGCUUCCCUUUAUGGCCAGAUAAUAACAAAGAUGAAAUCUAGAAGCUUUUCUACAACUACUACUAAAAGCUACUACUUCUUUUCUUACUUAAUGUUGGAAAAGGCUGCACCUCCACCUUAUUAGACCCACAUUAUGAAAAAUUAUUGCAGUCCAGUGUUGUUUUGCCCUGUAUGAUUUGAGUUUUCCCACAUAUUUCCCCAGCUGACCAUCCUGGAAAUGGAUGUGCUUAAUUUUUCCCAUCUCAGGGUGCAAAAAAGUCAUGGUAAGCCCUGCAGAGAUUCAGCAUCUCACCUUCCCCAGCACAGGGCUGCAGAGACACAGUGGAUGUAGUUUUCACCAGGGUCACCCAUGGCACUCAUGCAGCUCUGCCUGUAAAAGCUGAUGGUGUAGACAUGUUCAGGCUCCAAAGAACACAA
RNAcentral lists this long non-coding RNA (1076 nucleotides) under Parus major (Great Tit). RNAcentral's name for it is "lncRNA (ENSPMJG00000012086.1)". Lineage: Eukaryota; Metazoa; Chordata; Aves; Passeriformes; Paridae. The record is from RNAcentral.